CACGGGGGGCGCAAGCGUUAUUCGGAAUUAUUGGGCGUAAAGGGCGCGUAGGCGGUUCUGUCGGUCAGAUGUGAAAGCCCGGGGCUCAACCCUGGAAGUGCAUUUGAAACAGCAGAACUUGAGUACGGGAGAGGAAAGCGGAAUUCCUGGUGUAGAGGUGAAAUUCGUAGAUAUCAGGAGGAACACCGAUGGCGAAGGCAGCUUUCUGGACCGAUACUGACGCUGAGGCG
Molecule: ribosomal RNA, 230 nt
Filed under: uncultured microorganism
Description: partial 16S ribosomal RNA
Rfam family: Bacterial small subunit ribosomal RNA
Source: RNAcentral